CAUGCAAGUCGAGCGGACGCCUGCGCCGUCCUUGCCCUUCGGGGCGGGGACGUGCAGGCGUCAGCGGCGGACGGGUGAGUAACACGUGGACAACCAACCUUAUGGUCCGGGAUAAGCGCCCGAAAGGGCGUCUAAUACCGGAUAAGCCCCCGCCGCCGCAUGGCGGCGGGGGAAAAGUUCCGGCGCCAUAGGACGGGUCCGCGCAUGAUUAGCUUGUUGGCGGGGUAAAGGCCCACCAAGGCGACGAUCAUUAGCCGGCCUGAGAGGGCGAUCGGCCACAUUGGGACUGAGACACGGCCCAAACUCCUACGGGAGGCAGCAGUGGGGAAUAUUGCACAAUGGGCGCAAGCCUGAUGCAGCGACGCCGCGUGAGGGAAGGAGGCCUUCGGGUCGUAAACCUCUAUCGAUGGGGAAGAAGGCCGCCUUAGGGCGGCUUGACGGUACCCAAGCAAGAAGCCCCGGCUAACUACGUGCCAGCAGCCGCGGUAACACGUAGGGGGCGAGCGUUAUCCGGAAUCACUGGGUGUAAAGGGUGAGCAGCCGGCCCGCCAAGUCAUGUGUGAAAUUCCGCGGCUUAACCGCGGAACCGCACAAGAAACUGGCGGGCUAGAGUACGGGAGAGGUAAGCGGAAUUCCUUGUGUAGCGGUGAAAUGCGUAGAUAUAAGGAAGAACACCAGUGGCGAAGGCGGCUUACUGGACCGCGACUGACGGUGAGUCACGAAAGCGUGGGGAGCGAACAGGAUUAGAUACCCUGGUAGUCCACGCCGUAAACGAUGCUGGCUAGGUGUCGGGGCGAGAGCCCCGGUGCCGGAGCUAACGCAAUAAGCCAGCCACCUAGGGAGUACGGCCGCAAGGCUGAAACUUAAAGGAAUUGACGGGGGCCCGCACAAGCGGUGGAGCAUGUGGUUUAAUUCGACGCAACGCGAAGAACCUUACCAAGGCUUGACAUGGACCCGGCCGGCGCGGAGACGCGCCUUCCCUUCGGGGCGGGUCGCACAGGUGGUGCAUGGUUGUCGUCAGCUCGUGUCGUGAGAUGUUGGGUUAAGUCCCGCAACGAGCGCAACCCUUGCCCCUAGUAGCCAGCAGGUGGAGCUGGGCACACUAGGGGGACUGCCGUGGAGAACACGGAGGAAGGCGGGGACGAUGUCAAAUCAUCAUGCCCCUUAUGCCUUGGGCCACACACGUGCUACAAUGGCGCAGACAAAGUGAAGCGAAGGGGCGACCCGGAGCCAACCACGAAAAGGCGCCCCAGUUCGGAUUGCAGGCUGCAACCCGCCUGCAUGAAGUUGGAAUCGCUAGUAAUCGCGAAUCAGCACGUCGCGGUGAAUACGUUCCCGGGCCUUGUACACACCGCCCGUCACACCACGGGAGUCGGAGGCGCCCGAAGCCGGCGACCGAACCGGCUGGAAUCUAGAAUCUAGAAACUGGAAUCCGGAAAAACCGAG
RNAcentral lists this ribosomal RNA (1446 nucleotides) under uncultured Bacillota bacterium. RNAcentral describes it as "bacterial SSU rRNA". It matches the Rfam family "Bacterial small subunit ribosomal RNA". The record is from RNAcentral. Lineage: Bacteria; Bacillati; Bacillota.